This 405-nucleotide ribosomal RNA is filed under the name uncultured bacterium. RNAcentral describes it as "bacterial SSU rRNA". It matches the Rfam family "Bacterial small subunit ribosomal RNA", at positions 355 to 774 of the family's 1533-position model. The record is from RNAcentral.
UGGGGAAUAUUGGGCAAUGGGCGCAAGCCUGACCCAGCAACGCCGCGUGAAGGAAGAAGGCCCUCGGGUUGUAAACUUCUUUUAUGAAGGACGAAAAAAAUGACGGUACUUCACGAAUAAGCAUCGGCUAACUCCGUGCCAGCAGCCGCGGUAAUACGGAGGAUGCAAGCGUUAUCCGGAUUUAUUGGGUUUAAAGGGUGCGUAGGCUGUUAUGUAAGUCAGCGGUGAAAUACCUAAGCUCAACUUAGGGGCUGCCGUUGAUACUGCAUAGCUGGAAUAUGGUUGCUGUUGGCGGAAUGUGUAGUGUAGCGGUGAAAUGCAUAGAUAUUAGGAGGAACACCAGUGGCGAAGGCGGCUUUCUGGACGAUAACUGACGCUGAGGCGCGAAAGCGUGGGGAGCAAACA